Molecule: transfer RNA, 72 nt
Filed under: Ovis aries (sheep)
Lineage: Eukaryota; Metazoa; Chordata; Mammalia; Artiodactyla; Bovidae
Rfam family: tRNA
About the family: Transfer RNA (tRNA) molecules are approximately 80 nucleotides in length. Their secondary structure includes four short double-helical elements and three loops (D, anti-codon, and T loops). Further hydrogen bonds mediate the characteristic L-shaped molecular structure. tRNAs have two regions of fundamental functional importance: the anti-codon, which is responsible for specific mRNA codon recognition, and the 3' end, to which the tRNAs corresponding amino acid is attached (by aminoacyl-tRNA synthetases). tRNAs cope with the degeneracy of the genetic code in two manners: having more than one tRNA (with a specific anti-codon) for a particular amino acid; and 'wobble' base-pairing, i.e. permitting non-standard base-pairing at the 3rd anti-codon position.
Source: Rfam by way of RNAcentral
UCCCUGAUGGCUCAGUGGUAGAGAAUCUGCCUGCCAAGGCAGUAGACACAGGUUUAACCCCUGAUCUGUGAA